Molecule: ribosomal RNA, 687 nt
Filed under: Erysiphe platani
Lineage: Eukaryota; Fungi; Ascomycota; Leotiomycetes; Helotiales; Erysiphaceae
Description: eukaryotic LSU rRNA
Rfam family: Eukaryotic large subunit ribosomal RNA
Source: RNAcentral
CAACCGGGAUUACCUCAGUAACGGCGAGUGAAGCGGUAACAGCUCAAAUUUGAAAUCUGGCUCCUACGGAGUCCGAGUUGUAAUUUGUAGAAGAUGCUUUGGGUUGUGGGUUCGGCCUAAGUUCCUUGGAACAGGACGUCAUAGAGGGUGAGAAUCCCGUAUGUGGCCGAGGCCUGCGCCUAUGUAAAGCUCUUUCAACGAGUCGAGUUGUUUGGGAAUGCAGCUCAAAAUGGGUGGUAAAUUUCAUCUAAAGCUAAAUAUGGGCCAGAGACCGAUAGCGCACAAGUAGAGUGAUCGAAAGAUGAAAAGCACUUUGGAAAGAGAGUUAAACAGUACGUGAAAUUGUUGAAAGGGAAGCGCUUGCGACCAGACUUGGGCGCUGCCGAUCACCCCGAGUUUUCUCGGGUGCACUCGACAGCGCACAGGCCAGCAUCGGUUCGGGUGGCUGGAUAAAGGCCGUAGGAACGUGGCUCCCUUCGGGGAGUGUUAUAGCCUACGGUGCCAUGCAGCCCAGCCGGACCGAGGACCGCGCCUUCGGGCUAGGAUGCUGGCGUAAUGGUUGUAAGCGACCCGUCUUGAAACACGGACCAAGGAGUCUAACAUCUAUGCGAGUGUUUGGGUGGUAAACCCAUACGCGGAAUGAAAGUGAACGUAGGUGAGAACCCCUUUGGGGCGCAUCAUCGACCG